This 281-nucleotide ribosomal RNA is filed under the name uncultured prokaryote. RNAcentral's name for it is "partial 16S ribosomal RNA". It matches the Rfam family "Bacterial small subunit ribosomal RNA", at positions 524 to 800 of the family's 1533-position model. The record is from RNAcentral.
UACGUAGGUGGCAAGCGUUGUACGGAUUUACUGGGCGUAAAGGGAAGCGUAGGCGGAUUUUUAAGUGAGAUGUGAAAUAACCCGGGCUUAACUUGGUGCUGCAUUUCAAAACUGGAGGUCUAGGGUGCAGGAGAGGAGAAGGGAAUUCCUAGUGUAGCGGUAGAAAUGCGUAGAGAUUAGGAAGAACACCAGUGGCGAAGGCGCUUCUCUGGACUGUAACUGACGCUGAGGCUCGAAAAGCGUGGGGAGCAAACAGGAUUAGAUACCCGCGUAGUCCCUGA